UACGACUACAUAUCAGGCAUAUCAAUAAGCGGAGGAAAAGAAACUAACUAGGAUUCCCUCAGUAACGGCGAGUGAAGCGGGAAGAGCUCAAAUUUGAAAUCUUCAAGGUUUACCUUGACGAAUUGUAGUUUAAAGAAGUGUUUUCUGUUGAAGUUUCGGUAAAAGUUCUUUGAAAUAGGACAUCAUAGAGGGUGAGAAUCCCGUAUUUGACCAGUUACUUCCAGCUGUUGUGAUACACUUUCAAAGAGUCGGAUUGUUUGGGAAUGCAGUCCAAAAUGGGUGGUAAAUUUCAUCUAAAGCUAAAUAUUGGCGAGAGACCGAUAGCGAACAAGUACCGUGAGGGAAAGAUGAAAAGAACUUUGAAAAGAGAGUUAAACAGUACGUGAAAUUGUCAAAAGGGAAGCGUUUGACACCAGUGUUGUUUUCUCGAAAAUCAAUUAAAAAUGACCGGAUUUUGUGUUGUAUUGACUUUAUCAGCUUUCUGCACUCUUUUCUUGUCUUUUUUAAUGCACUUUUCGUUUAACAAGUCAACAUCAAUUUCUUUUGUUGUAAAAGAGGUCAUUGGAAGGUGGCUUUCUUUUCGGAGAAAGUGUUUAUAGCCUUUGGCUUCUGCAAUCGGAGAGAUUGAGGUCUGCAGCGUAGAUCCUUCGGGGUUAGAUACAUUUGUGCUAAGUUAUAGCCUUUCAUAGACAACUUGUUGACUAUGAUCAGUCAUGUAGCUUACUCGCUUAUGCUAAUUUUACCUACGCUUAGGAUGUUGACGCGCGUGUGUGCGUG
Molecule: ribosomal RNA, 777 nt
Filed under: uncultured Neocallimastigales
Lineage: Eukaryota; Fungi; Neocallimastigomycota; Neocallimastigomycetes; Neocallimastigales
Description: partial large subunit ribosomal RNA
Rfam family: Eukaryotic large subunit ribosomal RNA
Source: RNAcentral